This 2236-nucleotide long non-coding RNA is filed under the name Triticum aestivum (bread wheat). RNAcentral's name for it is "long non-coding RNA (TAES_LNC016166)". The record is from RNAcentral. Lineage: Eukaryota; Viridiplantae; Streptophyta; Magnoliopsida; Poales; Poaceae.
AUGAGAAAGGUCUAAUAUAUUUAAUUUCCUCUGUUGCAUUACAAAGAACAUGAUCCAAAGAUUACAAUACUAGCCCAAUUCUGGACCUUUCAAUCAUUUUCUCAACUAUUCGAAAUUAGAAGUUUUGAAACAUUGACACUGGAAAUGAUAUCCUAAAACAUAACAUAAGAUUAUCCAACAGCAACACCAUUCUCGACCUUGCAAUCAGAUGAUAAGACUAUAUAGCAGCAACACCAUUCUCGACCUUGCAAUCAGAUGAUAAAACUAUCCAGCAACAACACCAUUCUCGACCUUGCAAUCAGAUGAUAAGACUAUCAUGCAGCACCAUUCUGGACCAUGCAAUCAACGUCUAAGCCAUGCAUCGUCAAAAUAUCUUAUGAAUCUACAAAAAUAAAGAAAUGAGAUCAGUAACUUAUGGUAGAAAACAAGGUUAAUAGAGCAGCAAAAUUUAGAAGAGCAACAAACAAAGGUUGAAGGCCAUGCAAUAAUUAAUCCGGCUGCAUGGCCAAUAAUUUUUAACAUUUUUAGUGGUCGUAUCAACUGGUCAGAUUUUGCUAAUGUAGCACCAACUCUACAUGUACAUCUCUACGGAAGAAAAACUACAAUUCAUUAGUUUUUUAACCAAAAAAAAUACUACAUAUCUAAUUGAUAUCGAAUAAACUUAUGUGACUAGUCCGCGAUAGCAUGAGUGAAUAUGGUGUGAUAUAUUCGCAAAACCUAGACUAGUUAGAUUUGGAAAGUAUCACACAUCUGUAGCACAAAGUAGAUAUUAGGGUACUAAACUAACUCACCUCAUUCCAUAAUUAAUUUUCAUCAUGUCGAUACAAAUAUUGUUUUAUAGGAAGCGAGGGAAUGUAAUUUACACACACAGUAUUUGAUGAAUUGUUUUACCUAAUCUAGUUGUAACGACUCAUAUCUCGCAGAAGCAGUAUGAGAAUUUCACAUGCAAGAAAAGUUUUCUUUUUGUACAAAUUAGGUGGGAAAAAAUAUAGGUAUAUGGUAGAUAAGAAAUAAUAUUCAGGAUGGCAAUUAGUAGUCCAAUUUCCCUUUGUGGUGGUAGAACUACAGUUACAAAUUACAUCAUAAAAAUUCCUAUUUGGCACUAGUGAUCUUCCAUGUGUAAGUGCCAAGAAUAUUGACAUGGAACCAGUGGUGGUGCUAGGAUUUACAGGCUGUGAAUUCAAAUCUAUAUAUUCCAAUUAUACAUUCAUGUACUACACUUAAAUGUAGUAAAAUACAAGCGGCAAACCUGAACCAUGUUUUGUCCUUUGACGUCACAGUCCACAGUCACCGCGUAAUGUCAUCACUACCUGAAACAAUCCAGUUUCUGUAACUUGAAGAUACAACAUAUGUAUUGGUAAUUUAGAAGACCACAAAACAAUAUUUUGAAUGCAUGUAUACAGACAUUAAAUUUUCUCCAUAGACAAACUAUGAUCUCCAUAAGCCAAUUCCAUGGUUAGAAUGGAGAAGUCAACAGAAAAUCGUUACUCACACAAAGUCUCUAGACCAAAUGUUACUCUGAAUUUGAACUCUCUCAAGAUAAUCUAAAAUACUGAGAAAUUAAUGCAUUUUGGUAUUGCCAAUAUAUUUAAUUAAUAGAUAAACUUUGUCAAGUGAGAUGGUUCAGUGUUUGCAGUAAAAGAUCACUAUCAAAAUUGGAAGCUACUUUUUCAACAGUGAUUAGUUUUUUCAACGAAAAAUUGCUGGAAACUUGAAUACUGCAUAGUCAGUUCCAUAUAUGUACAUGCAUCUAAGUUUUCCUACUUGGCUGAACAGCUAUACUAGUACAAAAUUAAUAGCUUCAACUACAACUAGUAAUAUCCGUAUAACUUAUAGCUGCUGCAUAUUGCAUUGUAUUGUAUGAAUAUGACUAAGACCCUAUCAAGAAGUAUAAAUCAAUAGAGAUACGAGAAACACAAACCCAUAGAGAUUCGCCAAAAACUACAGUAAAUGCCAACCACUAAUCAUUGAUGCGUUAAUGUGGCAUUAGAAAUAUGAACGGACAUAUCAGCCUAGGUGACUGAGCUAUGGUAUUGGAUUGGAUGGGAUGGGGCAGAUGGCUUAGCUGACCGUACUGCACUACAAACCAUCACUAUGGAGCGGCCAUACCACUUCUGUACAUCUCGCAGUCAUCGCGCCACCGUUGUGCAUAUGGGAGUCGCCGCACCACUGCUGUGCAUCUGGGAACUGCAACCAAACCUCGGCUUUUUUGGCCCAUCGAGUAGCCCCCCUGCCC